Lolium rigidum is the source of this 219-nucleotide small nucleolar RNA. RefSeq annotates it as small nucleolar RNA U3. The record is from RefSeq and is a predicted model, not a curated record. The transcript has a single exon. Lineage: Eukaryota; Viridiplantae; Streptophyta; Magnoliopsida; Poales; Poaceae.
ACGACCUUACUUAGACAGGAUCUAUUCUAUAGUGUCGUACCGUUGCAUCCUUACCAUUAAGGAGGCAAGCACAAAAGUCUGGUUGAUGCAUUCUGACCUCUAGGCUUGAGCCUGAUUAACGGAUUGGAUGCUCUUGGUAGAGUCAUCCGAUGGCUGUAGAUGAUCGUUCUUGCCUGGCUCUGGCUUGUGCAGUAUGGCCUAGAGGUUGUCUGACAGACU